GGCUGGGUUGAGGACACGGACGUGAAGGAGAGCACGCACGUCACGUCAAAAUCGUACGUCUCCAGUGCGAGCAGCCGCCAUUUUCUCAGCGUGAUAGAAGCGAGAAGCGAGUGAAAGACUAUGCUCCUGUCUUCAUUGUCCUCGCGCUGAGCGUUAAAGACACAGAAGCUGUUUGUGUGAGGAGUCACAGACCUGUGUGAGGAUGAGGAGGAGGUGUUCUUCUGAAGAGAGGGACAGACGGUUUAAGGAGAGUAAACUUCAGAAUAACAUCAAGUUAUCUUUAUUUUUACUAAGACUAAAAUGUUUUUUUUUUUUAGAUGUUGAAAUCCAGAGACAAGAUAACUUCAUUCUUUUGAGACUGAUAACUCAAACUAACUGGAGUUAAGGACACACAAGUCUGCUUGUGUGAGGAGGUGGUUUUCUCAGCUUCUUCUGAAGAGAGGGAAAGAUCGUUUAAG
Molecule: long non-coding RNA, 458 nt
Organism: Carassius gibelio (silver crucian carp)
Lineage: Eukaryota; Metazoa; Chordata; Actinopteri; Cypriniformes; Cyprinidae
Exons: 3
Source: RefSeq, a predicted model, not a curated record